UCUCGUUUUCGGGUUGUGCUG
Molecule: non-coding RNA, 21 nt
Filed under: Caenorhabditis elegans
Lineage: Eukaryota; Metazoa; Nematoda; Chromadorea; Rhabditida; Rhabditidae
Source: RNAcentral